GUCCACGAAUGGCACUUCCGGCAUGCUAUUUUCAGAUCACGGAAUUACGUACUCAUCGCUCCUUGUUAAAGCGCUGUAGCCAUGGUGGCAGCUGAUUACAAGAGAGAUAACUGCAAGAGACAGUGUCGAUGACUGUUGCUGUGACGUCACAGCCUCCCACACCACAGCGGAGAGCAGGAAAGACAGCGGAGAUGGGAGGGAGGACGCAAGCAGAGCUUCUUUGAUUCCUGAUGGCUAAGUAAAGGAGAAUGAACACAUGCCUUCGUCCCUUCUCCCUUCUGACAUCUCAAUAGCGGGACUGUAAAGGAAGAAGGAGCAAAUCCACAUGAGCAGAAAGAACGAGAGAAGAGGGCAGCAAGUGUGGGGGUGCGUGCCCUGCAACCCACCACUGACGGGCAAGGGUGGGAGGAUGGGAGGAUUCGGAGCUCAACAUUACAUGGUGAAGGGGAGUGGGGCAGUUUGAUCCAGAUCUAGAGCAUCAGGAAGACCCCAGCAGACAUUUGGGCCACACAGUUCCUGCCUCCUCCCCCCAGUCCUUAGCCACAGUCCCAAUGAUGCCUUGCAAACUGAACAGGGCACUCACAUUGACCCUGCUUUUGCAAUACUGAGAAGUCAGGAAGAACUCAAGUUGGCUGUGAUUCUCAAGGGUGAACGGAUUCUGAUGAUGUAUCCUAGCAACCACUGAAAAGAUACAAGCUCUAGAAGCAGAUAUACAAUAGCCACUGGAUGCAGUGAGAAGUCCCAGGGCCUCGGCAGCAACCCACAGGCUGAACCCUGCAAGUGUGAGCUGACCCUGCUGUCACGGUGCUGUAGGGACAGUAAGAGUGUGAGCUGGACCAAAGGCUACCUCAUAAAUAUGGCCUGAAAUCAAAACGCUGGAAGCCCAAGCUUGGCGCUGAAGCAGGAGCCAGGCAAAACCACUUCAUCUGAAAAGAACUAAAGGUCACAGACCGCUUUCAAAUAAAUCCCUCUAAUCUAA
Long non-coding RNA from Mesocricetus auratus (golden hamster), 979 nucleotides. RefSeq lists it as uncharacterized. Lineage: Eukaryota; Metazoa; Chordata; Mammalia; Rodentia; Cricetidae. The record is from RefSeq and is a predicted model, not a curated record. The transcript is spliced from 3 exons.